RNAcentral lists this ribosomal RNA (450 nucleotides) under uncultured bacterium. RNAcentral describes it as "bacterial SSU rRNA". It matches the Rfam family "Bacterial small subunit ribosomal RNA", at positions 354 to 796 of the family's 1533-position model. The record is from RNAcentral.
GUGGGGAAUUUUGGACAAUGGGGGCAACCCUGAUCCAGCCAUGUCGCGUGAGUGAAGAAGGCCUUCGGGUUGUAAAGCUCUUUCAGCCGGAACGAAACGGUGGAUGUUAACACUAUCCAUUACUGACGGUACCGGAAGAAGAAGCACCGGCUAACUACGUGCCAGCAGCCGCGGUAAUACGUAGGGUGCGAGCGUUAAUCGGAAUUACUGGGCGUAAAGCGUGCGCAGGCGGUGGCUCCAGUCAGGUGUGAAAUCCCCAGGCUUAACCUGGGAAUUGCAUUUGAAACUAGGCCGCUAGAGUUUGGCAGAGGGGGGUGGAAUUCCACGUGUAGCAGUGAAAUGCGUAGAGAUGUGGAGGAACACCGAUGGCGAAGGCAGCCCCCUGGGCUAAAACUGACGCUCAUGCACGAAAGCGUGGGGAGCAAACAGGAUUAGAUACCCGAGUAGUCC